CAAAAACGGUCAAAAAAGUCAUAGUAUAGUAAGGUCAAAACGGUCAAAAAAGUCAUAGUAUAGUAAGGUGUCAAAAAAUGUGAAAAAAGUCAUAGUAUAGUAAGGCAUCAAAAACGGUCAAAAAGUCAUAGUAUAGUAAGGCGUCAAAAAAUGUGAAAAAAAGUCAUAGUAUUGUAAGGUGUCAAAAAAUGUGAAAAAAGUCAUAGUAUAGUAAGGCGUCAAAAACGGUCAAAAAAGUCAGUAUUGUAAGGCGUCAAAAACGGUCAAAAAAGUCAUAGUAUAGUAAGGUGUCAAAAAAUGUGAAAAAAAGUCAUAGUAUAGUAAGGCAUCAAAAACGGUCAAAAAAGUCAUAGUAUAGUAAGGCAUUAAAAAAUGUGAAAAAAAAGUCAUAGUAUAGUAAGGUGUCAAAAAAUGUGAAAAAAGUCAUAGUAUAGUAAGGUGUCAAAAAAUGUGAAGAAAAAAAAUG
Long non-coding RNA from Lates calcarifer (barramundi perch), 466 nucleotides. RefSeq lists it as uncharacterized. Lineage: Eukaryota; Metazoa; Chordata; Actinopteri; Centropomidae. The record is from RefSeq and is a predicted model, not a curated record. The transcript is spliced from 3 exons.